RNAcentral lists this ribosomal RNA (198 nucleotides) under uncultured Pseudomonas sp. RNAcentral describes it as "partial 16S ribosomal RNA". It matches the Rfam family "Bacterial small subunit ribosomal RNA", at positions 335 to 525 of the family's 1533-position model. Lineage: Bacteria; Pseudomonadati; Pseudomonadota; Gammaproteobacteria; Pseudomonadales; Pseudomonadaceae. The record is from RNAcentral.
ACUCCUACGGGAGGCAGCAGUGGGGAAUAUUGGACAAUGGGCGAAAGCCUGAUCCAGCCAUGCCGCGUGUGUGAAGAAGGUCUUCGGAUUGUAAAGCACUUUAAGUUGGGAGGAAGGGCAGUAAGCGAAUACCUUGCUGUUUUGACGUUACCGACAGAAUAAGCACCGGCUAACUCCGUGCCAGCAGCCGCGGUAAUA